GAGUUUGAUCCUGGCUCAGAGUGAACGCUGGCGGCGUGCCUAAUACAUGCAAGUCGAACGGAGAUUAAAGUAAGCUUGCUUAUUUUAAUCUUAGUGGCGCACGGGUGAGUAAUGUAUAGCUAAUCUGCCCUACACUAGAGGACAACAGUUGGAAACGACUGCUAAUACUCUAUACUCCUUCUUUACAUAAGUUAAGUCGGGAAAGUUUUUCGGUGUAGGAUGAGGCUAUAUCGUAUCAGCUAGUUGGUGAGGUAACGGCUCACCAAGGCUAUGANGUGUAACUGGUCUGAGAGGAUGAUCAGUCACACUGGAACUGAGACACGGUCCAGACUCCUACGGGAGGCAGCAGUAGGGAAUAUUGCUCAAUGGGGGAAACCCUGAAGCAGCAACGCCGCGUGGAGGAUGACACUUUUCGGAGCGUAAACUCCUUUUCUUGGGAAAGAA
Molecule: ribosomal RNA, 444 nt
Filed under: Campylobacter sp. canine oral taxon 011
Lineage: Bacteria; Pseudomonadati; Campylobacterota; Epsilonproteobacteria; Campylobacterales; Campylobacteraceae
Description: bacterial SSU rRNA
Rfam family: Bacterial small subunit ribosomal RNA
Source: RNAcentral